GACAGAGGGUGCAAGCGUUGUUCGGAAUUAUUGGGCGUAAAGCGCACGUAGGCGGUCGCGUAAGUCGGGUGUGAAAGCCCGGGGCUCAACCCCGGAAGUGCACUCGAAACUGUGUGACUCGAGUCCCGGAGAGGAUGGCGGAAUUCCUGGUGUAGAGGUGAAAUUCGUAGAUAUCAGGAGGAACAUCCGUGGCGAAGGCGGCCAUCUGGACGGUGACUGACGCUGAGGUGCGAAAGCGUGGGGAGCAAACAGG
Molecule: unclassified non-coding RNA, 253 nt
Filed under: uncultured Myxococcales bacterium
Lineage: Bacteria; Pseudomonadati; Myxococcota; Myxococcia; Myxococcales
Description: contains 16S-23S intergenic spacer region
Rfam family: Bacterial small subunit ribosomal RNA
Source: RNAcentral